RNAcentral lists this ribosomal RNA (500 nucleotides) under uncultured bacterium. RNAcentral's name for it is "partial 16S ribosomal RNA". It matches the Rfam family "Bacterial small subunit ribosomal RNA", at positions 30 to 523 of the family's 1533-position model. The record is from RNAcentral.
AUUGAACGCUGGCGGAAUGCUUUACACAUGCAAGUCGAACGGCAGCACGGACUUCGGUCUGGUGGCGAGUGGCGAGCGGGUGAGUAAUGUAUCGGAACGUGCCCAGUCGUGGGGGAUAACGUAGUGAAAAUUACGCUAAUACCGCAUACGAUCUAUGGAUGAAAGCGGGGGAUCGCAAGACCUCGCGCGAUUGGAGCGGCCGAUAUCAGAUUAGGUAGUUGGUGGGGUAAAGGCCCACCAAGCCAACGAUCUGUAGCUGGUCUGAGAGGACGACCAGCCACACUGGAACUGAGACACGGUCCAGACUCCUACGGGAGGCAGCAGUGGGGAAUUUUGGACAAUGGGCGAAAGCCUGAUCCAGCCAUUCCGCGUGCAGGAUGAAGGCCCUCGGGUUGUAAACUGCUUUUGUACAGAAUGAAAAGGUUUCUACUAAUACUAGGAGCUCAUGACGGUACUGUAAGAAUAAGCACCGGCUAACUACGUGCCAGCAGCCGCGGUAA